GUGGCUCUCCUGGCUCUGGUGGCAGCACCUCUUCCAGUUCCACCUUGGCCUGGCGCAGGCGUUCAAGCUUCUCAUCCUCACCUUGACCCAUUGGCUGCAACACAAAGGAUGGCAGAAGGAAAAAUGCACAACAAAACAAAACUGGGGCGACACCAGCAGAGACAGCAACGCAUCAGCCAAAUCAUCCAAGGCGAGCUACGCAUGCAUACGGGCCAACGGAGGGAAGGCUGGCCGCACCGUGGCAUCGCUUAGGCACGCAGUGGGAUUUGUCCUCCGAAGAACAGUACACAUAUUCCCCUCAUCCGAAUCCAAACGCAAUGACACAAUUUGAGGGUGCUGGUCGUGGUGGAGUCGGGGUACCUGCUUUGUGCUCUCUCAGCAUCUGACAGAAGGAAGGAAGGAAAGGGGGUGAAUUUGUGUUAUGCAGCUGUUUUUAUGCUCCGCUCCAGAACAUGUAGAGUCAAAAAAACACUCUUGAGUAUGUAUGAAGUACCUCACCCUUUCCACAGCAAUUUACUUCCAGGACUAAAGUGGAAUGGCACAUGUGUUAUUGCAAUGAUGUCCAAUCAGUCCCUUUUUCCUUGCCUGUCUCUGCUCUCCCCAUUGACUUCUGCAUUAUGUGAUUGCAGAUUGUAAGCCCCUUAUGGCAGAGACUUUUUUCGUUUUCCUUGGCCAGUUGUGUGCCAUGUGCACUGAUAGUGCCAUAUAAAGAACUAUAAUAAACUGCUAUGCAAUAACAGCUUAAGGAGUAGGGGUUUGCUGUACAAUAAACAGCUUGAAGGGGAAACGUCUUAGUCUCUGCCAGCAAUCCCAACUGCAAAAUGUAUUGAAACAUUAAAAUAAAAAAUAUGUAUUGCCCAGAUGAGGGAUGGUGUCAGCAGUGGCCCAGUGGGCACUGAAAGUUUCAUUUGGGGCCCUGAAUCUCUUCUGGGAAGCCAUCUGCCCCACCAUCCUGCUGUCCACAGUCACUUGCUGAAAUGAAGUACAAGGCCCAUGAUGAUCUGUUUUACAGCCUGACUCUUCUGGCUUAGCUGGCCUUUUGCCCACAUGUAUUUCACUUCUUGCUGCUCCCACUUGAAUCUUUCUGCCUGAGGUUUUUUCUCCUCUGGAAAUCAAAUAUCCUCCUCUCUCCGGCCCAUACAAUCCUUUAUACAAAUACAUGUGCCUUUAGGAGACAAGAUCAUUUAAAGACACACAAAAAGACUUUAAAGGAAAUGAAAAUUAGCAAAUUUGUGUUUUGUUUUGUUGUCCUGUGUACCUGAACUCUGGAUCUUUUCAGUAUCUGGUACUUAAAAUGUAAGCUGUUUUAAAUACAUAUAUUUCUGUUGUCACACAACAUCACAUGGCCAAAAUUUAAAUGUUCAGAAUUUCCAAAAUGUCAGCAACUUGGAACUUGUAGGAAUUAAAUACUGCAUAACUGAACAUUUCCAUGUACAUCCAAAAUUAAUAAUUGAAAUGCCAAUGUAGCUAUCAGGCUCAGAUGGUAUUAAUCCAAGCAUUCUUACAUGUGGAACUGUCCAUUUUGUAACAAAAAUAUGUAAUAUGUCUGUAAGAUCAUUAUCAACCUCUGUAUCAGACAACUGAGAAAUGGUCAAUGUAAUGCAAUUUUAAAAAAUUAAAUCCAGGAGGGAACCUGCAAA
Varanus komodoensis (Komodo dragon) is the source of this 1640-nucleotide long non-coding RNA. RefSeq lists it as uncharacterized. Lineage: Eukaryota; Metazoa; Chordata; Lepidosauria; Squamata; Varanidae. The record is from RefSeq and is a predicted model, not a curated record. The transcript is spliced from 2 exons.